This 224-nucleotide long non-coding RNA is filed under the name Elaeis guineensis (African oil palm). Its description in RNAcentral is "long non-coding RNA (EGUI_LNC009035)". Lineage: Eukaryota; Viridiplantae; Streptophyta; Magnoliopsida; Arecales; Arecaceae. The record is from RNAcentral.
CCAAUUAGGUUUCAUUGCAGGUCCUCAAGGACACAUGCUAAAAUGUUAUUGAAUAUAUUCUUUCAUUAACUUGGCAUGACUGAUCUAUUCGAUCUUUCCAAGUUUGAUUUAAUCCAAUAUUUAUUACUAUGUUAUGAUCCAACUGGGUCGCAAAGGGCGUGCAAUGGUACCUAGAAGCUCCUGAGGAAUCAAAAGGAGCUUUUGGACUAAAACUAGACGGAGGA